CGGAAGAGGUCAGGGGCAGGGAGGUGCAAGCCUGACAUGGUCGAGGAACAAGAAGGUGGCCGGUGGAGCUGAAGGAUGAUGUUCGAGAGGUCGUGAAGCACAAGAUAAUUCUCAAAUGUGAGAUCGAAGGAAAGACAACCAGACUGGUAUCACCACAGGACGACCAAGCCAUGCCUAGAAAGUUUGAGGAAAACUGUUGUUCAACCUGGAAUUCUUUCCACUGAGGGUGAGUGCAGAAUGAGACUUACAGACUUUCAGACUUACAAGACUUUCAGACUUAAAGAACUCAGAAAUUUUUACCUAUGAAGCACUUUCCUCAGGGUUUUUACAUGGCGGUCUACUCCUGUGGGGUGAGGACAAGAGGAGGUAGGAGCCUACCCAGGAGGACGGUGAAGCCAAGUGCCGCUGUGAGAACCGUGCCUCUCCUGGACAACGAGUGGUUCAGAAUGGAACAGGUCUGGAAGAGGUUUUUGAGUAUUUUUAGUUUUUACUUGUGCUCCUUCCAAUCCAUUUUCUACAAUGUUGCUCAGCAUCCCCGUGGGGCUACUGUGGCAAGAGAGUUGACCCUUCUCAAUGUGUUUAUAAGACCUGGAGCAGAGUCACAGAAGGGACUGUGAACGGGUACAUGAAGAUUGAAGCAGCCUUAUUCAUAACAGCCAAAAACUGAAAACAACUCAAACGUCCACAAACGGAUAAACAGGUACAUGAAAUGUGGUAUGUCCCUACAUGGAACAUCAGCAGAGAAAAGAAUGAAGUGCUGACACGCGCUACAAUAGAGAUGAAUCUUGACCUUAUACUCAGUGGAAAAAGGCAGACACAAAAGACCACAUAUCACAAGAGUCCACUUUUUUUUUUCUUUUUGAAAGAUUAUUUAUUUACUUAUUUGACAGACAGAGAUCACAAGUAGGCAGAGAGGCAGGCGGAGAGAGAGGAGGAAGCAGACUCCCCGCUGAACAGAGAGCCCGAUGCAGGGCUCCAUCCCACGACGCUGGGAUCAUGACCUGAGCUGAAGGCAGAGGCUUAACCCACUGAGCCACCCAGGUGCCCCAUAAGAUUCCAUGUUUAUGAAAUGUCCGAGGAGGCCAAUUUAUAGAGACACAAGGCAGGUUAGCGGCUGCUUAGGGCUGGGGGUGACUGCUGGGAGCAACAGGGAGUGGCCCCGGUGGGUGCGGGGUUUCUUUUGGGGGUGAUGAAAAUAUUGUAAAAUUCUGCACUCUUGGUUGCACAACACUGUGAAUUCACCCCAAACCACUGAUUUGUACACUUCAAAUAUGUAAAUUGUAGCUCAAUAAAGCUGUUAGAAAGACACAGAUCUAGAGAAGAGUUGGGGUGGGCAGAAAACAGAGACUGGAUUGUGCUUUCCCAUCAAUCUCCUCCUGCAAGCACUCAUUCUGCUGGAGAAAGAAUCAAGAUCCUAACAGUGGGUCUGAGACGGAUUUCUGACCAUCAGGCCUUCCUCUCGCCCCCCGUAGAGAGGAGUUAAUUAUCAGAGUGGGCUCUAGCUGGGUCGUCUUUAAUGUUACCAUCUGCAAACUACUGCUAACUUUUGCGUUUCCCUUUCCUUUCUGUCUUCUCCUUCUCAGGGACCCAGUUUUCCUAGAAGUAGACCAGAUGCACCACAAGUUGGAUCACAGAACUAGGGCAACAAAUCUCUCUAGAAAGUGUGUUAAGUACAACACUGAUUUAGGGAACAGUGCCCUGAACUUCAGGUUCACCUUCAGCGUUUCUCUGCAGGAAGCUCCAAGGAUGGUCCCUUCCUGUAGAAAGCUCAUGAUCACCUAGGGAGGUUGGCCAAUUCAUGUCAAGAAAGAGCUCAGGAUGCAGGUGUUUCUGCUUUUUCUUCUCCAUGAGGGAGUAAACAUGAGGCUGGCCAGGGGACGUCAGCUUGGAAAGAGGCACAGCAUCGACCUUCACGUGUAAGCCACCAAGUUUUGUUCGACAUGUAACAUUUCCUUUUCUUACAAAUGCCUAUCUAUGCCAUUCUCUGUCAGAUUGAACACAGAGACUGUAUUUCUCAAAGUAAUGCAACUCCAACUUACUUUAAGUGCAAGGAGGCAUAGGGCAAGGUUACACUCAAGCCAUUACCAAGAAAGCAAGAGGGAUUGCUGGAGUCUUCCAGCACUUGCCUUGAUUACUUGGGAUGUGAUCAGGGCAGGGACAGCUGGAUGCACACAGUGGCAUGGGGCAAACGUGGGAGUAAAGGGUUAACUGUCAGGGUUAAAAUUCAGGACACCGUUUUAAUUUGAAUUCCAGAUAAACAACAAGUAAUUUUUUAGUGUAAGUGUGUUGUCCCAUGAAAUACGUAUUUGUUUGAAAUUCGAGUUUAAUUGGGAGUCUUCCAUUUUUAUUCACUGAAUUUGGACCCUGGAACACACUGCUACACUGUAAUUGUCGUGAUUGUGUUGUAAUAAUCGCUGGCUUGUUUCCUGUUGCUUUGAAUCUUUUGAUUCCUCCGAGUAUGCCGCCAAAAAUUCUAGUAUCCGAAAAAGCUGAGAGCCACUGAAUUCCCUAUUCAUUCUGGAAAGUCUCCUCUGAUUAAGACUGACAAAUAAAAUUCAGGACACCCAUUUAAAUUUGAAUUUCAGAUAAACAAGUAAUUUUUUAGUGUAAGUGUGGUGUCCCACGAAAUACGUGUUUGUCUGAAAUUUGAGUUUAAUUGAGAGCCUUCCAUUUUUGUUUACUGAA
Long non-coding RNA from Mustela lutreola (European mink), 2685 nucleotides. RefSeq lists it as uncharacterized. Lineage: Eukaryota; Metazoa; Chordata; Mammalia; Carnivora; Mustelidae. The record is from RefSeq and is a predicted model, not a curated record. The transcript has 2 exons.